Molecule: ribosomal RNA, 586 nt
Filed under: uncultured bacterium
Lineage: Bacteria
Description: partial 16S ribosomal RNA
Rfam family: Bacterial small subunit ribosomal RNA
Source: RNAcentral
UGGGGAAUUUUGGACAAUGGGCGAAAGCCUGAUCCAGCAAUGCCGCGUGUGUGAAGAAGGCCUUCGGGUUGUAAAGCACUUUUGUCCGGAAAGAAAUCCUUGGCUCUAAUACAGUCGGGGGACGACGGUACCGGAAGAAUAAGCACCGGCUAACUACGUGCCAGCAGCCGCGGUAAUACGUAGGGUGCAAGCGUUAAUCGGAAUUACUGGGCGUAAAGCGUGCGCAGGCGGUUUGCUAAGACCGAUGUGAAAUCCCCGGGCUCAACCUGGGAACUGCAUUGGUGACUGGCAGGCUAGAGUAUGGCAGAGGGGGGUAGAAUUCCACGUGUAGCAGUGAAAUGCGUAGAGAUGUGGAGGAAUACCGAUGGCGAAGGCAGCCCCCUGGGCCAAUACUGACGCUCAUGCACGAAAGCGUGGGGAGCAAACAGGAUUAGAUACCCUGGUAGUCCACGCCCUAAAACGAUGUCAACUAGUUGUUGGGGAUUCAUUUCCUUAGUAACGUAGCUAACGCGUGAAGUUGACCGCCUGGGGAGUACGGUCGCAAGAUUAAAACUUAAAGGAAUUGACGGGGUCAUAGCUGUUUCCU